AAUAUAUACUACUCUAGGGCUGGACAAAAUAAAACCAACCGUGUAUAUCCGACCGAACCGAAUUCAAUUGGGCAUCUCGGGUCGGUUUAUAUCGGGUUAGCAGUUUAGGCGGGUGAUUGAUCCGGUAGUAUGGACUGUGUCGGUUCGGUUCGGAUGGAAAUGUUAGGCCCGUCGGUCACCGAACCCGACCAAGUCUAAUUAAUAUACUACUAUAUACUUGUAUUCCUUCUCUCACUCUCUCACUUGUAUUCAUUCUUACUUUUUCAACACAUAAAGAAACCCUAAUUUCUUUCUCUCACUCUCUCACUCUCUCACUCGUAUUCCUUCUUCUCCGCCGCCGUGUAAAUCUUCGUUCAUUCUUUCUUUCUUGUUUCGUCUUUACCCCUUCUCUUAUCAUCACCACACAACAUGUAUACAUUCAUAGUCUUCUCAUACUCAUCUUGGCUUCAUAGAUUAUUUAUUUUCAGGUGAAGUGAUUUAAAGCUACAAGAGGUGAUUUACCACUAUGAUGACAUGAAAUCCUACAAAAGGUUCAAAACUAAGUGAUGGAAUGAAGGGUGAUUCUUCUAUUAAGAUGGUUCAUGUUUAACAGUUUUUGGCUAUUGAAGAGGCACUAGACAGUGCUGCAGCAAUAAGAAACUUGUGUGGAAAAACAGUUGCAUACUUGUGGGAAAAAUCAGUUGCAUGGAGGCACUAAUGUUAGUUCAUGUUCAUCUCAGAAUACACAUUUUAUGAUCUUGUUAGUGGUAAAACCUAAGUGCCUCGCAUAUUUUCAAAAUUGUUAAUCAUGUUCUAAUUUUGUUAACAAUUAUCUCUUGUUAAGAUUUUUGAUGGCAGAUGUUGCUUGCAUGAAUGAGUUGGAGAAAAUAUUGCAUGAAUGAGUUGGAGAAAGUAUGGACAGUCUAUAUUUUAUAAUGGAUAUUAUAAAAUUUGUAACAAUAAGCUUCUAGAAUGACUCUGUUUGAUGAUGGCCAAUUUAAUCCAAAUAAUUAAUAGUGUUUUUUUUUUUAUAAAAAAUUCAAUCAAUUUCCAUUCCAACUAAAAUAAAAUUUAGAAUUAUAAUUAGGCUUGAAAUUUG
This is a long non-coding RNA of Vicia villosa (hairy vetch), 1078 nucleotides long. RefSeq lists it as uncharacterized. Lineage: Eukaryota; Viridiplantae; Streptophyta; Magnoliopsida; Fabales; Fabaceae. The transcript has 3 exons. The record is from RefSeq and is a predicted model, not a curated record.